GGGGGUAUAGCUCAGUGGCAGAGUGUUUGAUUGCAGAUCAAGUGGACCUUGGUUCAAAUCCAAGUGCCUCCU
Molecule: transfer RNA, 72 nt
Organism: Pelodiscus sinensis (Chinese soft-shelled turtle)
Lineage: Eukaryota; Metazoa; Chordata; Testudines; Trionychidae
Rfam family: tRNA
About the family: Transfer RNA (tRNA) molecules are approximately 80 nucleotides in length. Their secondary structure includes four short double-helical elements and three loops (D, anti-codon, and T loops). Further hydrogen bonds mediate the characteristic L-shaped molecular structure. tRNAs have two regions of fundamental functional importance: the anti-codon, which is responsible for specific mRNA codon recognition, and the 3' end, to which the tRNAs corresponding amino acid is attached (by aminoacyl-tRNA synthetases). tRNAs cope with the degeneracy of the genetic code in two manners: having more than one tRNA (with a specific anti-codon) for a particular amino acid; and 'wobble' base-pairing, i.e. permitting non-standard base-pairing at the 3rd anti-codon position.
Source: Rfam